CGGAGGUGGCAAGCGUUGUUCGGAAUUACUGGGCGUAAAGGGCGCGUAGGCGGCAAGGCAAGUCAGGUGUGAAAGCCCCGGGCUUAACUCGGGAAUUGCAUCUGAAACUGCUGUGCUUGAGUUCUGGAGGGGGUAGUGGAAUUCCUAGUGUAGCGGUGAAAUGCGUAGAUAUUGGGAGGAACACCUGUGGCGAAGGCGGCUAUCUGGAUAGAAACUGACGCUGAGGCGCGAAAGUUAGGGGAGCGAACGGGAUUAGAUACCCCGGUAGUCCUAGCUGUAAACGAUGGGCACUUGGUGUUGGGGGUAUUGAGUCCCCCAGUGCCGGAGUUAACACGUUAAGUGCCUCGUCUGGGGAGUAUGGUUGCAAGAUUG
Molecule: ribosomal RNA, 372 nt
Filed under: uncultured organism
Description: bacterial SSU rRNA
Rfam family: Bacterial small subunit ribosomal RNA
Source: RNAcentral